CCUACGGGAGGCAGCAGUGAGGAAUAUUGGUCAAUGGACGAGAGUCUGAACCAGCCAAGUAGCGUGAAGGAUGACUGCCCUAUGGGUUGUAAACUUCUUUUAUAAAGGAAUAAAACGAGGCACGUAUGCCUUUUUGCAUGUACUUUAUGAAUAAGGAUCGGCUAACUCCGUGCCAGCAGCCGCGGUAAUACGGAGGAUCCGAGCGUUAUCCGGAUUUGUUGGGUUUAAAGGGAGCGUAGAUGGGUUGUUAAGUCAGUUGUGAAAGUUUGCGGCUCAACCGUAAAAUUGCAAUUGAUACUGGCAGUCUUGAGUACAGUUGAGGUAGGCGGAAUUCGUGGUGUAGCGGUGAAAUGCUUAGAUAUCACGAAGAACCCCGAUUGCGAAGGCAGCUUACUAAACUGUGACUGACAUUGAUGCUCGAAAGUGUGGGUAUCAAACAGGAUUAGAUACCCGAGUAGUC
This 460-nucleotide ribosomal RNA is filed under the name uncultured bacterium. RNAcentral's name for it is "partial 16S ribosomal RNA". It matches the Rfam family "Bacterial small subunit ribosomal RNA", at positions 338 to 795 of the family's 1533-position model. The record is from RNAcentral.